AGUGAGCGCUGGCGGUAGGCCUAACACAUGCAAGUCGAACGGCAGCACAGUAAGAGCUUGCUCUUACGGGUGGCGAGUGGCGGACGGGUGAGGAAUACAUCGGAAUCUACUUUUUCGUGGGGGAUAACGUAGGGAAACUUACGCUAAUACCGCAUACGACCUACGGGUGAAAGCAGGGGAUCUUCGGACCUUGCGCGAUUGAAUGAGCCGAUGUCGGAUUAGCUAGUUGGCGGGGUAAAGGCCCACCAAGGCGACGAUCCGUAGCUGGUCUGAGAGGAUGAUCAGCCACACUGGAACUGAGACACGGUCCAGACUCCUACGGGAGGCAGCAGUGGGGAAUAUUGGACAAUGGGCGCAAGCCUGAUCCAGCCAUACCGCGUGGGUGAAGAAGGCCUUCGGGUUGUAAAGCCCUUUUGUUGGGAAAGAAAAGCAGCAGGUUAAUACCCCGCUGUUCUGACGGUACCCAAAGAAUAAGCACUGGCUAACUUCGUG
RNAcentral lists this ribosomal RNA (492 nucleotides) under uncultured bacterium. Its description in RNAcentral is "partial 16S ribosomal RNA". It matches the Rfam family "Bacterial small subunit ribosomal RNA", at positions 29 to 507 of the family's 1533-position model. The record is from RNAcentral.